AUUUAAAACUUAUGAAUUGCUUAUUUCUGGAAUUUUCCAUUUAAUGUUUUUGGGCCGAGGUUUACCGUGGGUAACUGAAACCAUGGAACGUGAAACGGCAGAUAAGGGGGCGGGCUAGGGUAUAGUAUGUUCAUUGUACAGAUUCAAUGUACAUAAGUGACCUCAAGACCAUAGAUAAUAGUAAACCAUAGUAAUUAGGAAGUGAUAAGGUUUGACUACUCCUUACCUUUGCUUUUAAUAGGGUUUAUUCAAUCCUUAGUUUAUAUCAUUAAUUUUUCGCAAUGGCUGUGUUCAGCAACUGGCUCAGAACUGACUCCUGACAAUUUCACAGUUGUGUCUAUACCACUGUCAGUAAAGAGAGUAAGUCAUGGAGUCUCAGAGCUGUGGGUUUGAAUCCUGGUUCUGCCUCUCAUUUGCUGUGUGACUUUGGGGAGGCAACUUAGUCUCUUUAUGCCUCCGUUUCCUCUUCUGUAAAGUGGGGCCCACAAUAUUAGUCGACUCCGCAGCUGUGCUGGAGAUUACACUGAGGUAAUGCACACAGAACACUGAGCACAGUGCGAGCCACGUAGUAGGGUCUCAGUGAAUGUUUUCUGUGCUCCUCCCCCUCAUCAUCGUUUAGAGUUUAACAGUUGGCAAAGCACAUUCAGACACUGGCAGGCAGCCUCCAAGUGCCCCAGAGCUUCUUGCCCUUCAGUAUGCACACAAAGCCCCCUCCCACCCCACGUCGGGCUGGUCUGUGUGGCCAGGAGAAUGCAGCAGAAGUGGUGCUGUCACACCUGAGAUCAGGUUAUACUGAAGGUGGCUGUCACUUCUCUCCUGGUCACUCUUUCCCAUUCUCGGAGCUUUCCCUCUGGGGGAGCCAGCUGCCGUGUCUCGAGGACACUCAGGCAGCCCUGUGGAGAGGCCCACGUGGCACAGACUGAAACCCACCAGCAGCUGCGUGAGUGAGCUUGGCGGUGUUUCCUACAACCUGCAGAGGAGACUGCACCCCCAGCUGGGAGCUUGACUCCAACCUCAUGGCAUCCUCAGCCAGAACCAUUCGGCCAAGCCCCUGCUGGACCCUGACUCCCAGAAACUGGGAGAGGCAGUGUUUGUUGUUUCAGCUACGAAGGUUUGGGGCUAUUUGUUACGCAGCAGUAGAUAACCAGUAUACGUUCCUUCUCAUUCAUACCUACCACAACAGACAGUCUGACGGUGGCCAGGGAGUGUUAGUUAAUCCCUCAUCUCACAGAUGAGUAAACUGAGGUGGGAAGAGCUCAAGGGACCUGCCCGAGAUCUGUGAUGCAGUAGCCCUUGGUGUUCCCCACGGAUAAUUUUCUCAUCUUGGGGCUCUUGCUCGUAAGGGAGGCUGCUUGGCCAGUGUGGGCUCAGGGUCCCAGGGGCUUUUGAGCAAUGCAUCCUUUCAGGAGUUGGCCAGACUCUCCCGGCGUGGGAGGGAAUCCUAAGUGCUCAUCACUCCGUUUAACUCAUCAAACAUUCAUCAUAAAGGUUGGGCCAUAAACAGCCGCGAAUUCUCCACAUGGAUUUGAGAGCAGGGAGUACAAGAGUGGUUUUUCUCCUGCAUCAAUUUCUAGACCCGAGGAGCCCUCUUCAACUGUCCUGCUCCCUUGAAAGGCAGAUCCUAAAACAUAAAUUAUCACCAAGAGUUAAAAAACUGCAAAGUGUGUGAAUGUUUACUUUUGUUUUUUAAACAUAGAUUUGGCAUCCUUGUCUGUCCUUUCUUGAUUAAGGGGAAAAAAAGUGGGGAGAUGCAGGUAGAAUUAGGUCAGUCCACUUAAGAGCUUGGCUCUCCCUUUGGACAUAUCUGAGUUUGAAUCCCAGCCUUGCCACUAAUUAGCUGUGGGACCUUGGGCAGGAGACUUUACUUUCGUGAGACUCAGUUUCCCUAUGAAGUUCUUAGCACAGUGCCUGGAGCCUAAAAAGUGCAUACUAAAACUUAGCUGCUAUUAUUCUUCUUAUAACAUUGAUAUAUUAGUCAGCUUAGGGUAUGUUAUAGUGCAGUAACAAAUUGCCAACUCUCAACUCUUUUUUUAAAAUUAAUUAAUUUUUUAUUGAAGUAUAGUUGAUUUACAAUGUCGUGUUAGUUUCAGGUGUACAGCAAAGUGAUUCAGUUAUACAUGUAUAUGUAUAUAUACAUAUAUAUAUAAAUAUUUUUUCUUUUUAAGAUUCUUUUCCGUAUAGGUCAUUACAAGAUACUGAAUAGAGUUUCCUGUGCUGUGCGGUAGGUCCCAACUCUCAACUCCUACCCCAAAAUUUUUCUUCUUUUUUCAACCUGAAUUUUUUUGAAGUAUUGUUUUUUUCCCCAGUUUUACCGAGAUGUAAUUGACAUAUAACAUCGUGUUAGUUUAAAGUGUACAUGAUGAUUUGACAUGUGUAGAAACUGCGAAAUGAUCACCACAAUGAGUUUAAUUAACACCCAUCACCUCACAUAGUUAACGCAUUUUUUUUUCUCAUGAUGAAAACUUCUAAGAUCUGUUCUCUUAGCAACUUUCAAAUACACAGCACAGUAUGGUUAACUAUGGUCACCUUGCUGUACAUUACGUCCCCAGGAUUUAUUUAUCUAAUAACUGGAAGUUUGUAUCUUUUCACCCCCUUUAUCCAUCCCCCUCAAUUCCACCCCCCAAAAUGUUUAUUUCUUGCUCCCACAAAGUCCACUGCCGGCCCCGUGGCUUUCUGCAGCUGCCCUCUCUCCAGGCUGUUUGAAUCUUGUAGCGAGGCCAUCCGGGAAAAUGUGACUUCUCUUUAGCAGCAUCAGAGGCAAAAAGCUUGAGAGUCACACCAAGGCAGAGGCUGUCUUGUCCCAUUUCCCAGGUGGGGAAAUGAAGGCAUAAAGGGUGACACGUCUUGAGCGCUGACCCUGUGCCAGCCACUGAGCAAAACAAAUGCCUUAUCACAUCCUUGCAGAAACCCCACGGGGGGUCAUAUUAAUUUUGGUAUCCCUGAUUCACAAAGGAUAAAACCUAGACCCACGGGGUAGGACGUGACCUCGCUCACAGCCUGGUCUCCAGCCCAGGUCUGCCGAUGCCUCAUUUCUUGUCCCUCGAUGGACCUCGAGACCCGCGUACCUGUGCUGAGAGACCACCCCGGUGCCGGCCGACCCGGGUUUCACACCACGGCGACACUGACACUGGGGCUGGAUCCUUCUUUGUGAUGGGGGGCUGUCCCGCGCUUCGGAGGAGAUUGAGCGGCAUCCGUGGCCUCCAGCCAGUCCUUCCAGACUUUGCCAAAUGCCCCUUGGGGGCAAAAUCGCCCGCGGUUGAGAACCACUGAUGUGUGUGGUGAGAGUCACGAGCUAUGAGCUGAGGUCCCUGCCAGGCCCUGCGUAACCAAGUGGCCUUAACUCUGAGUGAAGCCAAAACAUUAGUAGUCGGGCUUUGGAAUUUCCUAACUUUUAGGUAAAAUAACCUUUGAUUCCUGGUGUCAUUUGGGGCAAGUCUCUCCACAGUGAUGAGCAUUUUUCUUCAGCUGCGAAAUGGAGCAGACGAAGUCUGCUGACGGAGUUGUUAGGAGAGUGAGUCGAGAUGCUGGUUGGGUGCCCUGGCACGGCACUAGCACACAGUCAGUGCUUUAUUGUCCUUUAGUUAUGACCUGUCACAUGGGCUUGGGGGGUGGUGCACAUUUCCUAGCAACCAAAGCUACUUUUCCCGGUCUGUUGAAUUUCCAAUCCUGUGUCUUCAGGCUCUACAUCCAAAUAUAUGCCUUCUGCCAAAGCCCGAUGUUAUCCGGCAGCCCACACUCCUGUCACUCACCAGCCUGAUUUCUAGAAACGGCCCUUCCCCGGGCACACCUAUAAUUUAACAUCUGUAAUUCCUCAAUUAGUAGUCAGCAGUCCGUUCUGUUCUUCUCGGUAAUUGCCUUGUGCCCUGGGGAGGGUAAGGGAUGGAUGUGGGGGCCGUGUUGAGGCAGCUGGCGCCCUCACCCACCGCAGACAUCUCAGCAGGAAGUGCCUGGAAGGUUCUGGAACCCCUGGCGCUGGGUUUGAAGAGGGUACCAAGGUAGCCGCCCUGGUGGAUGAUGGGAAACCGAGCUUCAGUAUCCGUAAAAAUUUUUUCAUGAGCCCUGGGAGCAAGUGUAAACAGGCCGCGGAGGAGCAGGGCGCUGAUGUGGAGCUCCUCUUCCUGGAGAGGCUCCUGAGCCUUGAUUGCCAGAGCGUCUAGAUUGUUCCUGUCCACUCCUUCCAUGUUACAGCUGGGGAAGCCAAGGCCCAGAGAGGGAAAGAGACCUACACAAAGUCACACGGCAAGUCGGUGACAGACCCAGUAUCGGAGCUUUUGGGUUUCUAAAUUCAAAGUUGGGGCAGUCAGAGGUCGUGCAGUUCCCAACCCUGAUAUCCUUCAGUGUCGAGCAACAGACAUUUAUUGAGCUCCUACUGUUUGCAAAACUCUGCAGUCAGCUGUGCGAGUCACUGAAGAUAAUGAGAUGCAGUUCCCACCUCGGAGAAGUUUUCAGAAAAGUGACUAACAUGCAUAUACCAGCUGCACAGCCUCGAACCAGCCUCUUCUCUGCAGCCCUGGCGGUGGGCCUCACUUUCCCUUUCUGUACAUGGAGGCUCCGGUGUGACCUUUUCAGGCCUCCCCAGUGGAAUCAGCCUGGAUUCAAAUCCCUGCUCCUCUGUGUGCUGGCGUGUGACUUUCAGCGAGACUUUGAGGAAGCCUCGGUUUCCACAUCCGCAAGAAGGGGAUGGGAAUUCCAGGCGGUGAUGAGGGUAGAAUGCUCAGCAGAGUGCCUGGCCCGUGGUGAGCCCUCGGUAGCUAGUAGCUGGUAAUCGUGAUGGCUUCACUCUACCUGGCCUCGCUUUCCAACCACCCGGGGCUGCUCCCCGCUCUUCGAGAACCUUCCCAUCUCCCCAUCUGUGCGCCAGCCAGCAAGGAUGGAGCAGCGGCACGGACUCCGCUCUCUGUUGGCGGUUUGAAAAGGUUAAGCCUCUCCUUCAAACUGCGCUGUUUUCUCUCCAGAACGACCCUCCACCCGCAGGUGCUCUGGUUGUCAGGAGAAGGAUAGAGCAGAGCAGGUGGGCCUGGCCUGCAGUGACAGAGCCAGCGGCUCCCAGCCUCCUUUGCUUCCACUCAGCUUCCGCACCCUCCUCGCAGGACACACCCCACGAGCCCUCCCCACCUCCACCCGCCCCCGAGUUGCUCCCUGGUGAUGAAAGCACAUCAGGGUCAUUAACGGCCACCGCUAAUUAGGAAAGAAGAGACAGCACAGAGUUAAAUAAGGGACCUUCUGAGAUGUGGCUGAGGGCAGAACAGUUGGAGAUCCUUCAUAUAUAUUUUUCCCUUUCUCAUGAAUAAAUACAAGCCCUUUUGGGGGAGGGACUGAAAAUAAGAACGGAGGCCGGCAGAGCUCUGCUUAAUGAGUUUCCUAAUCUUUUCAUAUAAUGGGGAGCCCUGUGGAUUUUCAACAACUCGGUGCCGUCGUCGGUGGAAGGCAGGGCAGUGGGGGAAGCCGCACGGGCCGUUCGAAUCCUUUGUGCUACCACUUCCUGUAUCUGGGGCCUUGGCCAAGGGCCUUGACCUCUUUGAGCAGUGGUGUCCUUGAGUGCAAAAGGGGGCUAACACUGUGAGAACCGAGCUCAAACUUUGGUGGGCGCCUUGGAUACUGGUUCAGUGAGUAGAAUCCCAGGUGGAGGUCUUCUGGGUCUUAGGUGGGCCUCAGAAUCUGCCUGCAUUUCAAGAGCCCCAGGUAGAGAUGGUCACGUGGGCACCACCCUUGGAGAAACAGUUCCUUAAAGCAGUUCCCUCAGUCCGCAAAUAUUUCUCGAGCGCCUACUGUGUGCCAAGCCUAGUCGGAGGCCCUAGGGGUCCAUCAGGGAACAAGACAGAGGUGGUCCCAGCCCUCAAGGACAGUAUGUUGUUACUGAAGGGCCGGCUGUGUAUUUGCUCUAGUGAACCUCUUGUGGUUGGAUGAAUGAAUGAAUGAACGAAAGAAUGAAUGGCUGCAUGAGUUGUUAAUAUUGUUCUGAUCAUAGAUGUGUCUUUGCAGCUUCUUCCAAAUUCUUUCUAGCCAUUCUUGCUAGAUCACAAAGCAAUACUGAGAUGUAUUUGCCCUUUCACGUCCUCAGAGCGCAGCAGUACACCUGACACAUCUGUGACAGUUAGUAUCUGAUGGAUGGGUGAAUGAAUGAAUGAAUGAAUGGACACAUGCAUGAAUGAACUGUAAGCUCCUGGGUACCCACCAGCCAGAUUAGUUGUCUGGAUGACUAGGAGCUGUGUUUUCUUGCUAGGAACAAUGGUCUGGAGAGGCUCUAGGUUGUAAAUCGGAGUUCCACGUUCAAGGUGUAUCCAUGGGGUCAUGGCCGUUCUCUCCGAGGACCACAGAAGCCCCGGGGCCUAUGGCGGUCAAGUCUCAAGAACUUGAGGGUCAGUCCGUGUCUUGACCAGCCAGAGAAAGUCCAGCUUUGUUCUCACUACUACAGUUGGUACCUUGCUUUGCUGCGCCCACCCCCUAAGCCGUCUUUCUGGACCCCAAGGUUCUCACUGCUACCCUGGGCUCACAGGUCUCGGUUUACUCGGCUCUGUGGAGCUGGAGUCAGGCAGCCUUCCAGAGAGCUAAACCGGAGCCCUUUCUGAAUUCCUAGGGCGUGUUGCCAAAGGAAGGCUCCUGAAGCCUCCUCAGGAGCUAGUUGGGACUCCAUCCUCUGCUUUUAUUGAGCCAACUUGUAUUAAGGACCUGCUGUGUGCCAGGCACGGUGCUGGGUUCACGGACCUGACUUGACUUCGCCUGCAGGGUCACCCAAGGGUGUAAGCCAGAAGGAAGGGUACACUUAGUGCCCUGGGCCCUUGCAUGCUGAGGCUGGGGCUUCUCCCUACUACUUCUGUGCACUUUUCGUCCCAUGAGCUGAGCUGCCGAGGUGCUUUAUUAUGUCUCUCCCCCGAGAACAGAAGUGCUGUGAGGACGGGAGCCUCUCUCUGUUUUGCUGAGUCAGAAAGAGCUAGUUAGUGACAAAAAGCAGACUCUGGAGCCAGACGCAUCUGUUCGAAUCCCAGCUUUGCAGCCUUCUAGCAGUGUGUGUAGGCAGGUUACUCUGUGCCUCGGGUUCCUUAUCUCUAAAAUGGGGAUAGGGACUUCCGUGGUGGCUCAGUGGUUAAGAGUCCGCCUGCCAGUGCAGGGGACAUUGGUUCGUGCCCUGGUCCGGGAAGAUCCCACGUGCCGCGGGACAACUAAGCCCGUGCAUCACAACUGAGCCUGCGCUCUGGAGCCCGCGAGCCACAACUACUGAGCCCGUGUGCCACAGCUACUGAAGCCUGCGCGCCUAGAGCCCGUGCGCCACAAAAAGAGGAGCCACUGCAACGAGAAGCCCGCGCACCAGAACGAAGAGUAGCCCCCAAUCGCCGCAACUAGAGAAAGCCCGUGCACAGCAACAAAGACCCAAUGCAGCCAAAAAUAAAUAAAUAAAUAAAUACAUUUUUUUUUAAAUGGGGAUAAUGAUAGUACUUCAUAGGGUUGUUGUGAAGAAUACAUCAGUUGACACAUGUAAAGCACCUAGGACAGUGCCUGGCAUGUAGUUGGCUCUAAAAAGUUCUUAGUAUGGAUAUUAACAUUAUUAUAUUUGCAGCUAUAAGAAUAUUAUAAAUAAAUACACAAAAUAUCAUAAAUAUUUUGAGGGAUGAUUUACAUACAGCAAAAUGCAUAUAUCUUAAGCACAAAGCUUGAUGAGUUUUGACAAAUGCACACACCCAUGUAACCUACAACUCUAUCAAGAUCUAGAACAUUCUCACUCCCCCUCAGAAAUUCCUUCAUGCCCCUUCCUGUCAGUCCUCCUUACCUGGAACUUAAUAACACUUCUUGAAUGAAUGAAUGAAUGAAUCAAUGACUGGAGAUCCAUUGGGUUUGAUCCCAAACCUCUUAUGCCGAUUGUACUUGUAACCAUAGCUGCAUAACUUGAUUAACUGUUAGGUAAAUGUAGAAAUAGGAGUGCAAAAAGAAAGAGAGUUGUCAUACUAUGAAAACUUGAACUCAUUGAAGAGAUUCCAUAAAGGUGAACUGCUAAAAAAGAAUGACUGUCCUGUCGGGGCGGAGGAGACUGCGAAAGACUGGGGUGAAAAAUCCAGGCGUCUAAGUGGGUUCUCCAUCCCAGGAUGUCCAAGUGUCUGGGCCUCCACUCAGAGCCCAGGCACCUCCCUGGCCCUGCAGCACCGGGGACCCAUGCCCCUGGGCUCAGAGCCCCUCUCCCCCCACUGCCCUCCAAACCUGUCCCUCCCAGGGAAACCGAGAAACUUAGCACCCCAGACCUGGGUGCUAAGGAAUAGGGGAGGUGGAAGAGCUUCCAGAGCAUAUUCUGCUGGGGUUUUCACAGGGGUGGAGGGACCAGAAGGAGAGAGGUGGAUUCCAGGGCCCCAGCCCUCACGCCUCACCUACCACAUCCCAAACCCGGUUGCUCCCCUGUCUUUGUAAUAUACUGGGCUUCUGUGAUUUGGCUUCUAGAGAUUUUUCUAAAGCUAACAAAGGAAAAGGAAAGUGGAAAGCGGGUGCUGCGGUGCCAGCCACUACCCUCAAUCAGAGACGAGGGGACAUUCAAACAGAGCUAGUGCCUUGCCAGUGACAUACAGCGACCCCGUGACAGGGGCUGUUCCAAGUCUGGCUUCCAACUCCCAGUACUGAGUCUUUCCCUGUGGUCCCGGCUGGGUGUUGUCCAGCCCUGCAAAGCUGAAUCCCGGGUGGGGGCCUGCCUAUAGCCCAAGUGAUGCCCUUUUCGGGAUCUUAGAUACACAGGUGCCCAGCAGGUAAGGGUACCUGGUACCUUGUCAGCCCGCAGGGGGUGCCUGGUCCCCUGGCCUGCUUCUAAGGGGAGCUGCUGUGGUUCGGGUCUUUGGUUCGGCUUUUCUCCCUCCAGGGCCUGGCAAGCAGCACAGGGGCUGCUCCUUCCCUCCAGGGAGAGGUGGCGAUGAAGUCACCUCCAGGCCCCUGGGCUGCGUGGCUGGUCAGGUGAAGGGGCCGUUGGCACCUGCUCGGGCUGAUGUCACCCUGGGAAGCCAUUCAGUGCCGAGGGCCGCCUCCAGCCUUGGCCGCCUGCCCGCCCUGUUGCCUGUGUCCUGUUUUGUUUGUUAUGUGGGGCGGGCUCAGGGAGGGCCCGGGGUUCGGGGAUACACAGUCUUCUCCCUGCUCUCUGAGACCAGGGUGGCGCCAUCCCUUUUCUUCUGGAGACACCCCAGGCUGCGGGGCAGACUGGUUUCAGGUUCAAAUCCCAGCUCCGCCACCUCCAGACCGGGUGGCGGUGGGCAGGUUGCUUUGCCCCCUGUGCCUCUGAGUCUUCCUCUCUGGAAAGGGGUGUUGGGGCGUCAGCUCACAGGGGUUGAUCUAAGGGUGACCGAGGACGCGUGUGAAUGCGCUCUGCACAGCGCCUGCCCUCGGGAACGCCUGUGAGCUAGCGCCCGAUGGGGAUGGUGACGGCUGCUGUUCCUCUUGUGUGGGACAUGGUUACGAACGCUGUUCGUGUUAUUCCCAGAACUGAUUUAAGUCAAGCUUUUCAAAACAAAACAAAACAAAACCCGAGACACACUUGCUCCCUUUUGGACCCCCACUUGUUUUAAAUCAGUGUAACUUAACAAGACACAGAUCAUCUGUAAGCAGGAUUUGGGUCGUUUCCAAAACCUUCCUUCACUCUGGCAAAGCUCUCAGCCUCCCAAUUUGCAAACCAUUGUUAGAGAUCCACAGUUCUCAAAAAAUGCAGGUACCCAGGGCCCUGCCUCUUGAGAGUCUGACAUAAUUGGUCUGGGAUGCUGUCCAGGAAGCUGGAGUUUUCACAGCUCCCCAGGUGAUCCCAAGGUGCCACCAGGGCUGGGAUCCACUGGGUCAGGCAGCAUAACAGAAAGAACACAGGCUUCAGAGUAAGAAUGACCCAGGAUCAAACCCCAGACCUGCCACUUAGCUUCUGGGCAACCGUGGGCAACUGCCUACAUGUCCCGGAGCCUCAGUUUCCUUAUUUGUUAAUGUUUCUAGAGGCUGCUGGGAGAGACCUGAGGUGGAUACGAAUGGUACCUCUCAUGAGUUUGAUGAGUCAAAGGAUGGACAUUCCACAGAGGUGUUCCCUGGAAAUCAGGGCAGGGACCCUAGACCCUUGUCCAGCCAGCCAUCCCCACCUUGUCAACACCGGGGACCCCCAUUCCUGGCUUCCCCCCUUCAGUUUUGUGGUCUGGGAGUUUCCCAGAAUUCUUUGUUGCUACACUGGACUUGAUUCGUGUUCCACGCAUAAAGAUUACCAGAGACAAUUCACUUAAGAAUCACUUGGUUAAAUAACGUUUCUAAUGCAGGACUUUUCAGAGCCUUUAAUUAUGCAAAUAUACAUUAGGAACCUCCAGAGAUGGUCGUUGGCUUCCCGUACGUCUGAACUCUCUCCAUCGAGAGAAGUGCGGUACAUCUGUUCCCUGACUCGAGUGGGAGAAGGUCACGGCAGGGAAUGGACACACCAAUUGUCAGAAGUCCGCUUUCAGAAACGCUAAAUCUGGGGUUAGGGAAAUGUGCCUCCAAUUGGGGGAAUUGGGUAGCAUGCGUUGAGUACAGAAUUCACAAAGGGUUUCUCUGGGUUGGUAUCUUGCAUAACAUACUUUGGGAAACACGCCCAGUCCUUUCCCCACCCCCCCCACCCCCCCGCUCUGGAAUUACAUACAUAGGUUUCCAUUAAAAGACUCUGUUCUCCAAACUGCCUUUAUAGAGUCAACAUUAAUUCAUUCCCUCCUCGAUUUUUAUUGGGCAGAGAGGAAGGUACAUGCAUCGAUGUGUCCAUCACAGCCAUCUGGGCAUUGAUGGGACAGUCCUAAGAGGCCCUGAGAUUCCAGAAGAGGAUCUCUGUCCGGCCAGGGCCCUUUGUUCAGAGAAGCUGGCUGAGAGGCCCAGAGGUAGAUAUGACGUGGCCAAGGUCAAUCCAGAACUACGCCCAGACCCGGGUUUCUUUUUGUUUGUUUGUUUGUUUUAACAUCUUUAUUGGAAUAUAAUUGCUUUACAAUGUUGUGUUAGUUUCUGCUGUAUAGCAAAGUGAAUCAGCUGUGUGUAUACAUAUAUCCUCAUAUCCCUUCCCUCUUGCGUCUCCCUUCCACCCUCCCUAUCCCACCCCUCUAGGUGGUCACAAAGCACCAGCUGAUCUCCCUGUGCUAUGCAGCUGCUUCCCACUAGAGAAUGGACUUCAGACCCAGGUUUCUUGCUGUGAUCUGUCUGGCUGAGUACGUCGCAUGCUGUUUUUACAGCCUGAGCCUGGUUGGCCUCCAAUUAUUAUUGAAAUGAGUGGAGGUUUCCGGGAACAGAACAAAUCCGUAGAGUUUAAUUAAUGAAUAUGCCCGAGGGCUUGGCAUCUGGAUUCCUGUGUUUACCACAGGCUCGGCUCGCAGGCAUUUCCUACUGCGAGGGGCAGGGUGGAGCCCAUCUCCCUGCCCACCCCUGCCCUCCGGGUGGAGAUUGAGAGAGAGCGGGAGAGAGAAGCUGAAAUCUGAUUCCCCCACCCCCUUCGCAGCCCGGUUCCUGCAGAAGCUUUUCUGUAUUGUUUUCAGAAGCACCGGCAUUUUGUUUUUAGCAUUCUUUAUCAGUUGGUCGAAACGAAAUCGUCCCUCAGAGACCCUGGAAAUAGAACGAAGUGUCUGUGACGCCGGCAGACCUAAGCAGAAGUUGUGCUGUCAGUUCAGCCAACCAGCACCUUAAACCAGACCCGGGUCCUAUGGUGACCAGUAAAGCCGAGAUAACCUCGGUGUCCUGAGCUCAGAGGGGGAGGCCCCUGAGGAUUGCAGCUGAGCCAGCCAGGAUCUCAUAUCCAAUGGUCACGGGGCUCAGAGUCCGACAGCCCUGAGGCUAAAUUCCAGAUCUGCCACUUGUCAGUUCUGUGUCCUGGGGCAAACUCCCUAAUGUCUCUGAAUCUCAAUGUCUUCUUAGCUAAGAUGGGAAUAAUAAUUAUACACACACACACAUAUACACAGAUGUACUGUAAAGACUAAAUGAGCUAAUACAGGUAGAGCACUCAGCACAAUGUCUCAUAGUAAACACUCCAUAAAUGUUAGCAAUUAUCUUAAUCAUCGUUAUAUACAUCCCAUUUUAGAGGUGUGACAGCCGGGUCCUGGAGAGAUCCAUCGACUUGCCAGAGGGUUGGCCUCACAUCACGAUUAGAUGUGUGUCUUGUGACAGUGCCCGCAGGCCCUUCCACAUCCUUUAUACUCACAAAGAUUUGAGGGAUCUCAGGCACUUGGGGCUGUUCUUCCGAAUGUCUUUCAUCGCUUGGACCCCGUGCGCCGCUUCUAGUAGCGGGAGCUGCUUGUUUUUCCCUCUGCCUUCACACUUGCGAAAUUCUCUUCCCACUCUUGCAGUCUAGAGAAUUGAAGCCAGACGUGUGACUAAUCAACGCCUCUUAAGUGGGGAAAUAGGACCUUUUAGAUGUCAUUAAAAUGGCAGCCUGCCCCUCACUUGGCCGCCUGAUGGGCGGCAGCUUCAGAAAUGGACGAGGAGAGCGUUUCCUUCUCCGCCGUCCUCCUGGGCCCUGCCUCUUCCAGCUCCUGGGAGAGCUACAUACAGCCACGCUGAUGGCAGCUGACUCCCUGAGCGCUGUGCGCCAGGCACUGUUCCAAGGGCUUCACGUGCUUUGAUGCUUUUAAUCCUCACAAACGUCCUGUGAGGUAGGUGGUGUUAUCCCACUUUACAGUUUUGGAAACUGAGGCUCAGGGAGCUGAAAUGACCUGCUCAAGGUCACACAGAUGGGAGGACACAGUCGGCACUGGACAUAGGCCUUUGGACUGGAGCCUGUGAGCCUAACCGUGAUGCUAUCCCAGAGCUGUAACCUCUGCAGUUAACUUGAGCUCUGAGUUGGAAACCGCCCUUUUCCUAUUUCGAGGAGGAUGAGGGGAGGGAGCCGAUAUUCCUUAUGUAGCUACUCUGGACUUUAUGUGCCAGAUGGUAUGAGCCCUGUACAUAUAUCUCCCAUUUCAUUCUUUUUUUAUAUGCUUCCUCCUCUCUCUUCUCUUCCUCUCUCUCUGUCUCUCUGUCUCUGUCUGUCUCUCUCACACGCACACACACACACGCACGCGCGCACACACACACAUGCACACAAUUAACAUUAUGGUCCCUCCUUGUUCAGUGAAGAAAUCAAGACUCAAGAGACCUCAUGGGGCUUCCCCAGAUCACACAGCCAGUGAACAUCAAGCUUCAAACCCAGCUCUGGGUGCUUCUGAGCCCAUACUUUUUUCCACAUUGAGCCAGAUUGUGGCGUUGCUGAUCCUGUCCCCACAGAGGAGCAGGAAUAAUGUGAAUCCGGAGCGUGGCAUCAUAGAAAUAGCCCAAGACCAGAAGUCAGGAAGCCAGGAACUUAGUCCUGGUUCUGGCAGGACCCUGCUGUGGGGCUGCAGAAAAAUCCUACCCCUGCUUUUGCUUCCAUUAUCCCAUUUAUACCACAAGGGGUUGGUCUCCCAGGUUUUUAAGCCUCCUUCACGUGCCAACAUUUCAUGUGUAUUCUGAUUAUAGCGAAAGGUGCCUGGAUGUGUAUCGUGGAGAAGACAAAGCUCAGGGCAGACCUUUGAGAGUGUCCCUGAAGUGGGGGAAUGAAUCACCUCUGUUCUGCAUGGGUCUCAAGGUUUUUACUUAACAACAAAAGAGAAACUUUUCCCCAGUAGCCGAAUAGACAGGUCCCAUCACUGGGAUACACUUCAUGAAGCUGUAGACAUUAGGGAAUCUGAAGUGGUGAGCCUCCUGUCUCUGGAGGAAAUCAAGCAAAGGCUGGGUGCUCUAGACAUGAGGCAGAACUAGAACGACCUCUCAAAUACCUUUCAGCUCUGUAAUCUGGUGGUUCUGAUAAAAGAUAACCAGCUGGUGAGCCUAGAGCAGGGUACCAAAUAGGUCUCUGCCCACUAACUAACUCUAAACGAUGCAGUGGCUGCCUGGGGUGCUGUGUUGGGGAUCUCAGGGCUUGUCAGGGCUCAGUUCUAUAAUUGAUUUUUAAUGUCUGCUAUGGGCAAACAAGGGAGUGUUACUGACUUUCUCCUUUUCCCUGUUUUCUAAAGAGUAAUGCUUUCUGUUUCCAACAUGAACUUUUUACUAUAUUUUUGAAAAUCUGGGGACAGGAGGGCAUGGUUGUCAGCAGCCAUCCACUCCCACACCCAGAGUUCUCUGUUCUACAUUACCAGGCCCGUGGGGUCUGUCUGUAAAGGUCAGAGGCUUUAGGAAAAUGUCAUGGACUCAUGGAAUGGUUGCUAUUCACCUUGGUUUCCUUCAGGCUGGGAGAAUUUGGCAAUAGCCAGUAAUUGAGGUUAACAGAAACCUAUAAUAAACAAGAACACUUGAGAUUAAUCUCUUCUGUUUCUCGGGACGGCACCAUUGUAUACCUGCCUAAUUUUCAAAGCUUAUUACUGAGUAAUCGGUGAAUCGGACCUGUGCUGGGGAAUCAAGACAGGCAUAGCCCGUUUUCCUGUAAGUCUCUUUUUUUCUUUCUGCUCAAUUACUGUUGUUAGCCAUUAUGUCCUCAUCAAGUGAUUUCCUUUCAAAGCAAAAUAAAAGUUGCGCAUCCCUUCCUGGGAGAAUUUUUCCUCCUGCCAGGACCUGCGUAUAGCUGGGAAAGUUUCCAGCAAGCAAACAAUUUACGGUGCGGGGGGUCGGGGGGGACCCACAGAGAUUAAGCCACUUAUGCCUAAGGUCACACAGCCAAAAAGCAGCAGAGCUGGGCCUGUCUGCCUUAAAGGCACCUGCUCUUAAAUAUGUCAAGUGACUGUCUGUCCUGCAGUAGAUGUUCAGUACACGAUGGUUUAUUUUUCUUGUCCAUGUCUCAAAAGUUGUUCGUCUCUGUAUCUGUCAGGAUAGGUUAGGUUAUUCUGCAGUAACAAACAAAACCCCCAAAGUUCAACAGCGUAAAACAGAAAAAUAGGUUUCUUUCUUGAGUGCUCCACAUGUCCACUGACACUGGCUACGUCUCUGUUUCACGUCAUUGUCUCUCCGAGGCCUAGGUUGAUGGAGCAGCUUGCCAGGGACAUGACCAGCCACAGGAAAAGAGGUAGAGCCAUCAUUGAGGGAAAGAGAAUGUGGCAGCCAUCACCGGCCCUUAAAGUUUCUACCUGGAAAUAAAUGACCUCACUCCUGCUCACACUUCAUUGGCUAGGGCAAAUAACAUGGCCACACCUGUACUCAAGAGGGAGUAUAAUUUUUCUGCGGGGAGAGGCAGUAGAUACGUAUGCCUCAUAAUACAGUCUGCCUGCCACAGUCUCUGCAUGAUCUCUGUGGGUUCGUUCGUAGAAAUGAGUUUGCGCAGGCUCAUGUUUUUCCUUUCCUAUAGCACGAGCCACCCUUUUGGAUCAAUUCUGUCCUUGUUGCUUGGAUUUAUUAAGGAGCCCCAAGUUGGACAUAUACCCAUUCUCCAGUAGAGCACAAUUCCUGACUCUGACAUCUCCAUUGAUUUAUUCAUCUGUUGGUUUCAUCCUAGAGGUGGACUGCCAACCUGCAAUGGUGAAAGAAACCUCCAAAUAUAAAGUCUUUCAAGGGAAGUCAGAGUUCUUUAAAGAAAUGCAGGACUGUGUCCCUCCAACCCACAGAAGUACUGUCAGGCGGGUUACUGCACGUGGGCAGCGCGUAAAUCGAGUGCCUACUGUGUGCCAGACACUUCUGUGCCUACAUCAGAGUGGUCUGUGGUUACAGGCUGCCUCAGGAGGGUUCCAGAGAACUCAGGGAGGUGGCCUGUCUUUGGGGGCUUGGGAAUUCCACCCGCUGCCUGUUCUUCACAUUGAGGGAAAGGGACAGCCAGCUUCAGUGGUUGAGCAGAGAAAAGCACCAGACAGUUACACCCCCUCCACCAGCCCCUGACUGAGAAGCAGGAGGAGGAAUUAAUACGGGGUCUAGACACAGUCUUAAGGGGUCUCCUGAGCGCCUGUGUUCAUCUCUUCUCAGUUGGGAACGCUGGGGAUCCUGCUCUGAAGGUACUUACAAAAGGAACGCUCAUUGCCUGUGGUGCUCAGAGGGGCAAUUACAUAGUAAGAAGGGGGAGCCUUGGCGCUCUUGACGUGGCUUGCCUGGGAGGCCCGCGGGAAGACGGGGACUUGGCGGUCUGCAGCCGCCAGCCUUGCUCCUGCGAGGAGGGGUCCCAAUCAGAACCAGCCGAUCGGGGCUAGGCAUCUCCCCACAUUUACUGUAUUUAAAGAGAUGGUCCAUCAAAGUGGAUUUCCAUGUUCCAACUUCCUGAACCUGAGUUCCAGUGGUUCUGAUUUAGAACACGAGUUCCUGGGUCUGCCUGGCAACUGCCAAGGUCUGGAGUUCGGUAGAUGUGAAUUUGAACGCUGGCUCCACUAUGUAUGUAAGUCCCUCUCCCUCUCCAAACCUCAGUCCCCCCGCCCCCCGUCAUACCCCCAGCUUUAAAUGAGGCAGUGGAUGGUCCUUGCCUUAUAGGGGCAGAAGAAGGGGAAAAUGCAAUGGGGGUGAGUCACGUGGCAGCACCCCCUUAAGCUGGGAAACAUCACAAAUGUGGUGGGUGUUUGUUCAAGAUUAAGAAUUAAUGAGCUGCAAAUUUCUCCAUCAAGCAUUUCUGCGGGCAGACCUUUAACAUCUACAGUACCCCGUAAUUCCACACUCAAGUCCCAGGGGGCGGGGGGUGGGAUGUGCACUGUAGCUACAGCCUCUGGUUGCCUAGCAAUGGGAAACCCACCCCAGCUGAUACUCUAAUUUGUCAGAACGUUUCAGCCGCUGCAAUGGUUCCGAUGUCCAGUUACACGAGAAGGAAAAAAUCAGCAGCGUGCACAAACCUGUCCACCAGUUGUAGAAUCCAACCCCUUCCCAGGGGCUUCUCAAGCCAAAAGCGAGACUGGUUCUUUCCCCGUAGGGGGCGAGUGAGCCCCAUGGGUUUACAGCUCUGUCCCCCUGAACCAGCACCACUGCCAUCUUGGCCUGUGGGUCCGGCUUUGAAAUGGUGUUUGGGUCUGAGACCAGCAGGAUAUUGUCUGCGGCUCUCAGUCCAUCUGGGCUCCCUUUAAACCAGGCGGGUGAAGCCCAGGGAGCUCCAGGGAGCUGCUUCGACUCCCACCUGACGAUUUAAUCCCCACUCACUGCUGGGCACUUUCAUUCGAGGGGUUUACACACACAUCUGGCUCGGCCGACGCUCCUUUACAAGGGCCAUGUCCUCCCUGGUAAACAUAACGAUGCCUGGCCCCCGGCUCUCCACCUGGCCCAGUUCAACAAAUGACCUUCCCCGUAUACCCACCCUCGCAGGCCACUGGACAAACUCCUAGAGCAGUUCUAAGGUCUGGCAAAACUGAGUGUGGACUUUGGGCUGGGACGCUUUUCAGAGUCACGUGUUCUCCGGUGUAAGGAGCGCUGAAACUCGCCAAAGCUAAGGCAAAUAUUUGUAUGGUCUUCCACAAUAGCUGAGUGAAGUACGGUUACUGUCCCCAUUGCACAGAUCGGGAAACUGAGGCCCAGUGAGGCCAAGGGACUGACCCAGGGCCCUACUGCCAGGCGGGGGCAGAGCAGGGCUUGGAACCCACGCUUGUCUACGCAAGGGGUUCUCACUCGAAACCUCCUUCUUUCCCUGGGAAACCCUGCGCAAGCCCCAUUCACUGUUAGUUAACCCAGACCUUGCCAGGGUCCCCGCGUGGCUAAUAUUAGGACCUGAUGAUGUUUCAGUGCAAGAAUGGAGAAGGAACAAGGGGUGUGUCCCCCACGGGAGGCUUGUGGCCCUUUUGCUCUCACAGUGUUUGACUAACCUGCUUUUAAUCCCCCUUGGCCAUGCACACCUGGGAAUCCUUUCUCUUUAGGGACCAUGAGUGGAUCCCAGUGGUCCCCAGAGCCACCUGACAGCCAUGGGGCCCACCUGAGGCCUGGGUCCCUGGUGUGGGUUCCCUAAUUAUUGCUGGAAACCAUCCCUCUCCUGUCAACAUGAUAUAAAUAGGAAGCUGGAGGAAGAAUUGAAAAAAAACGCCACUGGCUCUUUUCCCCAGUGUGGGUGGGUUGAGUUAAAAAACCAUCAGGCCGCCGGCAUCGCUGUGUUGGAAAGCCUGAGGGGGUGGAGGGUGGCCGCCGCUGCUGAAACUCAGAGGUGGCCCUGGACUCGGUCGGCCACAUCCUCUUCUGUUUUCAUUCUCAUUGGCAGCGCAGGCUGCAGAAUUGGAUUCUGAAGUUGAGAGUCCUCCAGUGACCUGCCCCUUGGGCAGUGACAGUGACUGUGAUUUCCCCAAGGCCACAGUGUAGCCCAGCCUGACCGUGACCCUGCUGACAUGUUCCAGGGGGAUUGGGAGGGACUGGUCCUGGCGAUGCCCUGACCUUCCUCCAGGAGGGAAGCAGCAGAAACAGCCUCCAGCCUCUCAACACCACCUCCAUCCGUGGUGUCACCUGCCCAGGCCACUUCCCCUCUCUGGACCUCGGAUUCCUGGACCCUAGGUGAGGUCCCAGACAGCUCCAAUGCACUCGGUGGAAAACCCAGGCAGGAGAGCAGAGUCAUCUUUUGCCAGUGGUGUGCGUGAGAGUGUGCACGGGUGCAUAUGCAACUCUGGUUAUAAACUGUGUAUUUAAAAAACCCCGGUGACGCACUGGGAAGGUUACCUGUGCAGAAAGUGAACUUCACACUGGUUGGAAGGUCCUUUGCAGGUAGGACCAUCUCAGCAGUGUUUGAUAGAAUCUAAUACUAGUACAGUAUAGACAAUAAUGUAUAAAAAGUUCUAGUAGUCACAACCAGGCAUGGGCUCGGAGAGGUGAAUCGAGUUACCCCAAGGUCACACAGCUGGUAGGAGGCACAGCCAGGACCAGAACCCAGGUCUGUCUGACCUCAGAUCCACCGUGACGCUUGGACUCCCACAUCACGUGGCUUUUCCAAGAUGAGUUGCUCAGAUAGAUCCCUUGCCUGCACUUCCUUUGUGUCAGGAGGAGGGGGGGGCAAAAAAAUCACUCUGCCUUUCCCAGACUUCCCCCAGGCCUCACCAGCAGAUCACUGAAAUGUUAUUUAUCAUGAAAACAUCUGGGAACAAUAGCAGUUCCCAGGGCCAAGCUUGCACUGUUGGCUGUUAAAACGCUGUUUAGAAUGAAAGUGGAGGCAAGGAAGGUGUAACCCAGGAGGCGGAGUUGAUGGGUUGAUGCCGGGCUGCCUGGGUUUGACUCCCAUGGGUCUCUGGGCAGGUCACUUCGCUUUGAACCUGUUUCCCACAUCUGGAAAAUGAGAUCCUGACCAUGGGUAAUGUGCUCCCCUCUCCCAGUGGGAGCAGAAUAUCGGAAGCCCCCCAAUUUGUUUUUCACAUCUGGAGAUGACAUUUAUGAAUGCCCCCAGCGUGGGUCUCCAUGUAGACAGUCGGUGCCCAAUCAAGUUUAAAAAUAAAAUAAAAGAGAACAAAGUGCAGUGGGGUCUGUUGGGGAACCAAGGAGCUGGAUGCACCGGGCGGACCUCAGCCCUGGCGGCCUGCCGCCUCCCUCCCACCUGGAGUGUCCAGACCAGCCCGGGCCUCCGAUUAUCUUGGCCUUGCUGCCCCAUGGGGAUGAAGGAAGCACCUAACACUCUGUGUGCUUAAUUCGCGUUUUUAUUUGGGAAGCUGGAGGUUUAAGAGUGGGGAGAGGGAAUGCUAGACUUAGAAUGCGACUGGGGAAGUGGGAGAGGGAGGGUGAAGAGCUUCAGCCCAGGCUCCUACGUCCUAAGUCAGCUCACCAGGUACCAGAAAACACCGUCUGCGGUGGGGUGGCGGUGGCGGCAGCGCUUGUAACAACAGCUGCCUCGUCCGCUGCACUGGCCCAUCCCUCCUCCUGGAUAUCUGCCUGGCUGCCGCCGCCUCCUUCGGGUCUUUGCUCAAACGUCUCAAAACAGACACUUGCCCUGAUGGCCUGUUUAACAUUGCAGCCACCCCUGCCGCACCCCCUGGCACUCCUCAGCCCCUGCCCGGAUUUAUUUUUCUCCACGACACGAAUCCCCUCGCAGCGCAGUCUGUAGUGCACUCUGUUCUGUAUUCUGUCUGUUUUCCGCCCUAGGAUGUCAGCUCCCCCAGGGGAGGGACUUACCUGCUGUUCAAGGUGCCUGCGCAUGGCCGGUGCUCAGGUGAAUGACAGGAGGGAGGGAGGGCUUCCUGUGUCCCCGGGCCUUUGCCCUUACUGUCGUGUGUAAUCUUUAACUGCCUGGAGAGGUGGGUUUCUAUGGUCCCCAUUUUUAUAGAUGAGGGCAUUGGAACUUGGUUGCAUAGUAAUUUAGUACCUCGGUGCCUUCUUUAUAUCAUCCACAGUCUUGGGGCUUGGUCCUUCCCUCCCUCCUUCCCUCUCUCCCCUUGCUCUCUUUUUCCCUCCCUCCAUCCCUCCUGACUUCCUCAAAGCACCUGAAUUGUGCUGGGCACUGGGUCUGGCCCUGGGAAGAGGGAGGUAAACCCAAUUUGAUCCCCGCCCUCCGAGGCACGAGUCUUGGGGUGGGGUGGUCAGAGCUGACACAAGCCCCUGCCGCCCAGGGUCCUAAGUGCUCUAGGAGAGUUAUGAGUCAGAACUGCUUGCUCCCCUGUGCUCCCCUGUGGAGAUCUGGGUCUUAAAGGUGGAGUAGGAGCUCCUCAGCAGACCAGGCAGGGACAGGCAUUCCAGGCAACACAGCAUUGCUCGUGGCAGAACCACACGUGGUCCAGUCUCCCUGAAGCAGGAUCUAGGCAAGGAGGAGCGGCCAGUGAGGGGCCUGGAAGGUGUCCUGGGGGCUGCAGGUGCCCAGCCAAGGAGCUUGGACUUUAUCCAGCUGGCACUGGGCCAGGAGAGAUGUCAGCCCAGGAGCCUCCAGCUCGCCUGGGUUUUGCCACUGGGAGCCUGGUAAAGGGAGGGAAUGAUGGGGGGUGCUCAGCUGAGGUUUUUGGCCCGCCCAGGAUUCUCCGUCCCGUCCUUUGUCUCCGUUGCAUCUCACUCCCCUAAUUGCUCUGGGUUUCCCCUCCAGAGAAUAACGUUUACAGCCAAGGCCUUAUUUCCCGGAAGGCCAGGAUAGUCAUUGCUGCAAGAAUUCUUACAGUUCCUAUAAAUCCCGCCAGCUCCUCUAAAGGAGUGUCGACCUGGGUGGUGGCACUGCGGUGAUCUGUACCAAGAAUUCCGAAAACACUUAAUUCCUAAAAGCCCUUGUAUCAUCCUCUUCAGCUCUGUGUCUCCUGCUGGUUUCAGAGCCAGAGAGGUGAUACCGACUUACGAGCAUCAUAGCAAUUGCAGUCAUUUCCCAGGUACCUACCACUCACCCAGCACUGCACACAGAGCAUUAGCCCAUGCAGUGCUGGCAUCAGCGAUGGACACUGGAGUGUUUCUCUGCUGUUACUGAAGCCCAGAAAGGUGAAGCAACUUACCCAGGGCCACACAGCUUCUAAGAGCCUGGGAGCCAGGACUGGAGCCGGGGUCUGUCUGCCCCAAGGCACCUGUCAACCCGGCAUCCCUCUUCCCUGAAUCCCUGCAUGGUCUGUAGCUAACAUCCCAGGCCCUGCCUCUCUCCUAUCACUUCUGACUUGAUGCCCAAGGAAUAAAUACUGGGCUCCUUGAAGUUUCCUUGUCACUUCACAUCCUGUUCCUUUGCCUUAACCGCCCCUCUCCUUACCCUGGCUAAUUCCAGCUCCUCAUGAAAGACUCAAGAGUCACUGCCCCUAGGAAGCCUUCCUGAUCUCCCCCAGGCCCUUCCUCUGGCUGCAACCAUUCCAGCCCAUUGCCCUUCCUGCUCCCUGUUGAAAUGAUCUGCUUACACGUCCACUUCCCCACCUUGAUUUUAAGUUGCCCCCGGGCAGAUAUCUGAGGUACCUCAGCAUUGUUAGCAGAGAGCUGGCAUACAGUAGACACUGAAUAAGUGCUUGUUGUCCUGGCCAAGCUCCAGGCAACCUCUGAGCCCCCUUUCUGUUGGAAAGUCCCAGAUCCUGUGGCUUGUGCGAUGGACAUGUUUCUUUCUCCACCUUUCCCCUUUUGGGUGGUGGCGUUGUAUAGGAAGGGCUGGAUAGGGCACCACCAGCUGGCCCAAGAGGGUGGCCGCUCCCUGCCUGGCAGCAGAACCCCUGGAUGAUGUUCUGACCCAGUGAUGCAACCCCAGUGGUGGCCCCUGUUUUACAGAGGGGGAAACUGAGGCCCCAUGAGACUCACCUGAGGUCACACAGCUCAUUAGAGGCACGGCCAGGGACCCGAGGUCUGACUGAGCCCAGGCCCCUUCUCUGUGCCGAGCGGAGGAGGUGGGUGGGAGUCCAGGGCAGGCCCAGCAGGACUGGGCAGUAGACAUUCUCAGGCUGUUACCCUCCCUUUCUCUAAGGCGUCAUCUGUGUGCUCCUCUGUCCCCAGAUACUCCCAUGUUAACACCAAGGCUGGGAAACAGGAAGGACCCUGCCCUGCCGGCGGCAGUUAGAUCCCCGGGUGGGGACAAGUCUGCAUCUGUAGGAGACUAAGCACCAGCUCUCAUCACGUCGGAGAGAAGGACUAACUUCUCAUGGCAUGAACAUGGACCUGCAGCCUCAUUUUCAGUGGCUGUACUAUAUUCCAUUUUUCCAGUUAUGUAUGCCCACUUUAUUUAGUCAGGCCCAGAUUGAUUUUUGGACACGUAGGUUUUUCCCAGUCUUUUUGCCUUAUAAAUAAUGCUUCAGUAAACAUCACUGGACUUUCAUCUUCACGCGCCUGCAUAACCAGCAUAACUUUUAGAAGCCGGGUAACUGGGACGGAGGCAAAGAGCUCUUGCAGCACACUGAUUAAAUCCCUCUGGUGUCAGCUAGACCACGGUGUGAGCACACGUGCGCACACACAGGCAAGUUGCUUAAUUCCCCUGAGCCUCCGUUCUCUCCUGUAUAAAACGGAGCAGCAGGUAUGCAACCCUUAUCCAUCGUUCUAAAAUCCAUAAAGCUCUCCUUUGUAGCAAAACCACCCUGUACCAAUGUACUGACAUGAGGUUAUUAAUAGUAUUUACACACGGUGUGACUAUUCAUAUAUUUUGCUGCAGAAAUAUUAAUACGAUUGCCUGUGGGGUGUUGCACUACACCAGUGUUUAUCCACUUUUUUUGGGUAUUUUUUUCAUUAUCAUCCCCCAAAGGGCCUUUUAAAAACUUUUACUUAAUUGCCGUUCCAUGAAAUUUUAAUAUCAUAGUUAAUAUUGUACAUCUGUAUGUGUACUGUAUGCAUAUCUGUGCCAAGGUUCCCCCCACCAAGAACCAAUUUUCACCCCCUUAGGGACAGUAUCAUUCCUGUAGAGAAUGCAUGACCUAGACCAGUAGUUCUCAACCAGGCGCGACUUUGCCCCCCAGGGACAUUUGGCGAUGUCUGGAGACAGUUUGGGUUGUCACAGCUGUGGGUUCGGGCAUCGGUCGGUACAGACCAGGAAGGCUGCUAGCCUCCUCCAGCGCACAGCGACGGCCCCCCUGCAACAGGCCAGAGUUCUAAGGUUGGCAGACCCUCCUCAAGACCCCACUGGGGGUUCCUCCCAAUAUACAGUAUGUGCACUCGCCUGCUGCCCUUCUAAAAUCUGAAUUAGAAGGCAUCUGGCCCCUGGGUUAGGGGUCAGGGCCGCUGGAGCUGUAACACUAAAACCUACUUCACAGGUCGGUGGGAGGACGCUUUGGGGGUCCUCCCCAAAUCAGUAAAUGCACUUUACUGAUGCAGUAAAGUGCAUUUCUUGGCACCUGGCCGUGGUCCAUGCUCACCCAGGAUGAGCCAAAGCGCCCGAGUGCCAGACGUCCAGGGUCCUGCGCCUGGAUGCUGUCUCCACAUUGAGAAAUACACGUUCAGGAGCCUUUCAAAAUCACUAGGUUUGCCUUCCAAGUCCCGUUAAGUGGGUGCUGGCCCCAGGGAUGCCCAGGGCUUUUCCAGCAUGCCUGAAAGCUUGCAUGGGCACCAGCUCCUUACAGAUGGGUCUGUUAUUUUGUUUGUGGGCUUUGGCCAAGGUGCAGUGUCUGUUUGAACAUGCCUCUGGGCUUGGCCAGCAGCCAGCGGUAAGCUGGCCUGGAGCGGUGCAUGAGGACCAGCCCCCGAAUCCUGGAGUUCAAGACAGAGGCUUCCGAACGCUCUCACCCACUUGUGACCCAGUGAGCCACGCGAUGAGCAAACGGCACCCUGAAGCAGGCAGUUCCGCCCCGACUUGGGUGCUGCUAAGAGUUGGCCAAAGAGACACCAUCCACCGGGCAUUUUCCAGGGCCUCUCUGGCUUCCCGAGGGCUGGACUGGGAAGCAGAGGUGGAUCAAGUUGUGAGUUAGAACAGGCGGCGCCCUGGACCCUGGGCAGGGUCUUUGAACAAAACCACAGGCUGGGCUGGGCACCAGAAGGAAACGGGGCCCUUGGCUCUGUUCCAGGCGAUGGAAUGUCGGCCCAACUGGUUUUCCUCCUUCACUGGAGGAGCUGGGCACUCAUAAACAAGGGAACUGCCAGGCCCGUCAACAGCAGAGAGGUCCUGGGCUCUGCCCCUGCCCCUGCCCUGCCCCCACGCCAGGGGAAGAGACGCCCCAUCCGUGCUCCGUGCCAUCUCUGCAGACCAGCCCCUUAUCCUCACGGUGGGUCCUUAAGCCUCUCCUGCAGGGCUGCUCCGCAGGGUGUAUGGGAUGAGUCUGUCCAGUGCCCAGCAUAGCCCGCUGUCAGUGAAGAUGGUGUUUCGCUUCACCUGUUCCUAGGCUGUUUGGUCACCUGCACUGCCUUCUCCAUUCGCCCCCAUCUGUUCAAUCUGACCCACUUUUCAAGGCCUGGGCCAUGUCACAUGCCCUCUGUCACCUGCCACUCCUGAGCCCCUGUGUGCACUCUCCUCCCCUUCUGUCUGGGGCCCCGAAGUACUUUGGGUACCUGGGAUAGGAAAUCAUUAAUCAUGGGGCCCAAGAUGACCAAGGGGGUGAUCUAAGGUGGAAUUGUCUGCCCCUUGUGCCUAGUAAACUUUCUGUAACAGCUUUGACAUCUCCAUAUCAGCACUUAAAAUUCUACUUCAUUGUUUUUGAUGGCAGCACGGAUUCCCUUGCAGGGAUAAACCUGUUUACAGAUGCCCUUAUGGAAAGACAACUGGGUUGUGUUUGCUGUUAACCAAAAACCAAAUGCUGCUGCUGUGAGCAUCUUUGGGUGUGUGAGUUGAUAUCGCGGAGGAGGUGGUGGGUGUGUCCUGCCUGGAAGAGAUGCUGGUGGAUUUGGGAUCCUGAGGCAAUGGACAGACACACCGGCUCCCCGCCUCCUCCCCGGGUUCACACUUACGUCAAGGCUGCAGUUCUGUCGCCUGACACGUUGAGCCAUCGCCUGAAAUAAACAUGAGAGAGAUGUUUUGACAUGUGAUGUUUCAAAAAAAAAAACAACAACACAGAGUCAGAUUUGGCGGAGACUGUUUUAAGAAUCCCUCCAGGAGAGCCAAGUCAGGGUGGAUGGGAGCAGAUCCCAUGAAGAAGAGAUGCUAGGAAACAUGAAAGAAUUACGUAUUUACGUAGAAUCGUACAUUUUAACGUUUAUUUUUAAAAACUACCAACAGCAAAUGUUACAAAAUACAAAAAGAGGUAGAAUUUUAAAACUAUGUCUCCCUCUCUCCCCCUCCCCCCCGUCACUCGCUUCCCCUCCCAGAGGCAAGUGUGAUGACAGUUUUCCUAUGUCCUUCUCACAUAUUCUAUGCAUUUUCAAAUAUUUACGUAUAUAUUUUUCCUCGCUCCACCUGUUGCUUCCAGCCUUGCCUUAUUCACUUGACAGUGUAUCUUGGAAGUCACUCCAUAUCGGGACACAUACAUCUUCCUCAUUCCUUUGAACAAUUAAAGAGUAUCCCAUGCUAUGAUUGUUCUAUAAUUUUAAAAUAUAAAAAUACACUUUAAAAAAACAAAAUUCCCUUUUAUCUUGGCUCAUCUUAACCUUAGAACUGUAGACCUUUUAUUAAUAGAACCUUAGACUUAAAAGGAAAUUGAAUUUGUCGGUGUAAAAGUAUCUCAGGACUUUUAGAAUGUUCUCUGCCCCUUCCCCACCAAGUGGGGCAUAGAAGGUUCCUGGUUCCUGGUUAUUUGGGGGGGAUUGUCCUCCCUCCCUGGAUCAGUCUCUCCUGUUUUGCACCUUAAAAAAUUAUCACAGUCGCCAGUCCGCUUUCACUGUUUGUCAGCAUGCUGAACAUGAUGUUUUAGAAAAGAGAUUUGUUUUUUAAAAUGUAACAAAAAUUAAAAUUUAAGGGCAUAUAUGAAAACAGACGGUCCUGGGAUAUAUCAAGAGUCUUUAAGUAGACAGUAAUAUCGUUCAUGGGCAUGAGAGAGGGGUCCGGGGAUCAUCUGUGGAUCGUUCAUUCACUCAUUCAUUCAUACACGGAUUCAUUCAUUCAUUCACUCUCUCCCUCAUUCAUUCAUUCAUUCAUUCACUCACUCACUCAUUCAUGUAUCCAUCCAUUGUCAGUUGCUCCCCUGACCACUGUGGCUGUCUCUUAACUUGGUGCCAGGGUUUGAGGGUGAACAGACCCCAGUGCCUGCCCUCAGGGAGCUCACAGCCUGGAGGAGACCGUCAAACAAACAGUAAGCACAGUCCAGCACAAUAAGCUGUAUGAUGAGCUGAGCACAGGGGGAUUUUAUGGGGUCCCAAGGGGAGACCCAGUCCCGCUGCCGAUGGAGGCAGUCAGGAGAGGCUUCUUGGAGGAGCUGAUGCCUGAGAUGUGUUUCAGGGACACAUUCCAGGCAGACCUGGGCCAGCACUGGCCAGCAGCUGAUGGACUAUACCAAGAAGUCUCCCAGAGGGGCGUUUCCUGGGUGCAGUGACAGCAGGAGUUGGUGGAAUGGGGCAUAACUGGCCAUAGACUGGGAGCCGCCUGUGUUUGAAUCGGGUCCCUUCACUCACUCCUGAGACCCCGGGCGAGUCGCUUCACCUCCCUGUGCCUCGGUCUUCGCAUCCGGAAACUGGGGAUAGUUCACAGUACCUGCCUCUUAGGGCUGUCGGGAGGACUAAUCUCGGCAGCUUGGCACGCAGGAAGAGCCGUAUCAAGGUCCCUUCUUGUUGUACCUGUCCAUCUGUGAAAUGGGCGUGUGAAAGCAUCUGCUCUGGGACUUAAGCUAGACGGUGCACAUAAGGAAUCUGACUUGGUGCCAGGCGUGCAGUGGGUGCUCCUUACACGUUCCUGGUUAUGACUGUUUUCAUUGCCCCUUUGCCCACCUCCAACACCCAGAGCACAGGGUGCCUGCCGGGUUUCUGGAGUCUGGGAGACCCCGCCUCCGAGGCCAACGAGAGCCUGGGCCCCCCAGCCCAGCUGUCCUUUCUGUUUAUAGACUUGGAGGUGGAGGCCGUCGGAAGAGCCAGGAAGCCCCCCCGACCACGGAGCCCUGCGGGGCACCCCCCGCUGGAACCAGGCUUGCCUCCUGAGGACCAGCUGCCAACGUGUGUUCCCGUCACUUUAGGUGACACACUUGCCCCCUAGAGUCAGCGUGUCUCUGCCGGAGCUGUCAUUUUGCAGCCUGCGUACCCGGCUUGGCCCUGGAGGGGGGCAGGUGUGCUGGGGUCAGCUCACUCCGUGAUGGAGGGGAGCAGCUGGCUGAUGUCCGGGUCGGGAGAGAUGUUGAGGGAUCUGGUUAAGGCAGCCCCUUUGCUCUCCGCUGAAUGACAGGGCUGUCAGGCCUCACAGUUAGAGCGUUUGUUUAAAUGAUGUGCUUCUGGGAACUAAGCAGUGGACGUCAUCGUCAUCAUCAUCAUCAUCAUCUCAGCUGGAAUCUAUUUGGCACUUAGCGUAUGCUGGGUGUGUGCAGCUCUCACCAGAUGUCUUACAAAAUCCCCCCAACUCCCCUAAGCACCCUCCCUAUCCCCAUUUUACAGAUGGGAAAAUUGAGGUUUUGAGAGGUUUGCUCAUAGCUACCAAAAGGCAGAGCUGGAUUUGCCCUGGUCUGCCCCAUCUCAGAGCCUUCCCCACCUCCAACUCAUCAGAGCCCCGGGGUAGGUUCAUUUCCCAUCUGCAACCUAAAAGUUCGUGCUUUCUGUUGCUAAUCACCAGGCACUGCUAGCUUCUCCCUAGAGUGUUUAUGAAAACUGAUUGUAUUCAAGGUGUGAACAGCAUCAUUUCAUCAUCAGUCAGGUGGGCAAACCCAGCAAGGGUGUGAACAAUCCAAACGGGCACUCCUUUAAAGGGGAAGAAACCAAUGCCUCUUCUCCAGGAAACAGCUGACAGCUCACACAGGCCGGCUUGGUGAGCUCCGGACAUUAGCCACCAGGCAGAGGUGAGCCAUCAAGUGGCAGAGGGCCCCUGAGACCUGCCAUCCCUAGCCACUAAGCCACCAAGAGAGGAAACCGAGGCUCAGAGAGGUGGGGGCUUUGCUCGAGGUCAUCCAGAGGGGAAGCCAGCGCUGAGCCUGGCACCUUUGCUCACCACGAUGGGCCAGGGGACCCAGUCCGGGAACAGGUGUGUUCCUGUGGGGGGAGCCGCAGCAGCACCGCCCAGGUGGGCCGGGCCAGCCCCGUCUCUGAGCCCAGCACGUGUCCUCCUCCCCCGUUCGUCACUCUCGCCCUACGCACCUCUCUCCCUGUGCCCACCUCCACACACCUCCCUGUCCCGAUGUGUUUUCUCCGUUUGUCUUGCCCUCUGCCUUAGCUACGCCCCCGUCCAAGCCACCACAGUGUGCCACGCAAAGCCACACCUGGCUAUACCUGGUCACAUCUGGCCAGACUGCACUGUUGUUCCCAGAGCCCAUUGAGAGGGGUCAGAAACUGGUGUCCCGGGGCUUCCCUGGUGGCGCAGUAGUUGAGAGUCCGCCUGCCGACGCAGGGGAUACGGGUUCGUGCCUCGGUCCGGGAGGAUCCCACAAGCCGCGGAGCGGCUGGGCCCGUGAGCCAUGGCCGCUGAGCCUGCGCGUCCGGAGCCUGUGCUCCGCAACGGGAGAGGCCACAACAGUGAGAGGCCCGCGUACCGCGAUGAAGAGUGGCCCCCGCUCGCCGCAACUGGAGAAAGCCGUUGCACAGAAACGAAGACCCAACACAGCUAAAUAAAUAAAUAAAUAAAUUUAUUUUGAAAAAGAAAGAAAGAAAAAAAAAGAAACUGGUGUCCCACCAACCUUUCCCCGGAAGCACCAUGCCCUGCCGUGGGGCAGGGGCACAAGGCCUGGCUUGCGUUGCCACCUUAGGUGACACUGCGGACUCCCAGAAGCCCAUCAACUGCGCCAACGCCUCCUAGCUGGGACACAAGUCCACAGGGAGGGGACACCGUGUGGGUUUUGCUGACAGCACUGGGAGAGCGUUCUGAGGGCUCUGUCCUGCACUGUUUCUGUCCGUUUCCUUCUGGCCUGACUGCCUUACCUUGUUCUCCCUUCUCUCCUUUUUGUGUUUUCAUGCCUCCCCACCUUCCCUCUUUCCUCCCUUCCUCCCUCCUUCUUUCCUAUUCAGUGAGCACUUAACUCUGCCAGGAGCUGUAACUAAGCUCUGAGAAUCCAAUGGUGAUGAGACACAGCUCUCCCCUUUUGGAGGUUGUGUGUACUGAGAGAAACAGGCAUCCAAGGAACCGUCCAAGUGCUGAGAACCCCCAGCCGAGUCCAGGGCUCAGAGGGACAGAACAAGGACCUAGACUCAGGCGGGAAUCUGCUCGGAGGGGCCGCCACGCACUCUGCGAUGUGCAGAAGGCCGCCCUUAGCCAAGCGAACAGCUGUGCUGUGAAGGUGCACGGGGCGUUUGGGCGUCACUGUGGCUGCAGCACAGGGGAGGGAGUGAGGGUGAGAAGAGGUGGUUAGGAGAGUGGGCGCUGGACAUCCAGGCCUUGCCGGCCACAGUGGGACAGACAGUGCUCUUAAGAGCCUGGAGCGGGGGGUACAGGGUGGAUGGGAGACACACUGGGGGACUCGGCCCAUCCUUGGCCUGCUGUCCCCCCUUCCCCUCUCUGGGCCUGAGGCCCCACCCUGGGUUCAGCUAGGGAAUGCACUGUGGUAACCAGGCACAGGCCAGGGGAUCAGGACACCUGGAUUCGAGGCGUGGCCAGGCAUCCUUUCCUCUCUCUGGCCCUCAGUUUUCCCAUCAGUGAGAUGGUCAUUGAAGGCCCUACAAAGCUCUCCAUGUCAAGCCAGAGCUUGGAGUAUGCAGCAGUUUGGGGGAGUAUUUUGGGGCUUGGGUGUCAAGCAAACCAAGUUCAAAUUGCAGCUCCACCACUUUUUAACUGUACCGCCUUGGGUGUGUCAGGUCCCCUCUCUGGGCCUCAGUCUCCUCCCCUGUAAAAUGGGUCCAUUACGGUUCCUACCACAUAGCGUUGUUUGGGAGCAUUAGAUGGCAAAGUGAAAGGUCAUGAUAAUCACCAGCGCUCACAGUAAUGUUAGCCCUUGAUAUUAUUGUUAGUAUUAUUGCCCAGCCGUUGUGCAAGUCUGAUCUGGGCACAAGGCAGGGAGGUGCCACCAGGUCCCGGGGGCACUGGGAGAGAGCCAGCGUCACCCCAGCCUGGGUCCCAUGACACCGGAGCACCCUGCACAGCUGAGAGUGUCCAGUUGCAGAGGGGGGAGGGGGACGCACAUCUUGAAUUGCCCCGUCAGCCGCAGGCCACCGAACACCGUUCUGACUCAGGCUUCUUUCCCAGGCGGAUGUGUCAGACACCCCAAAAUACACACAGGCAUAAUAUUUUCUCUUUUCCUCACUCCUUCCCUAAUGACACGGCCUUUUCUGGGUAAGGAGCUCACACCUACUCAGUGCAGCAAAGUUAUUUUCAGAAACAUAUUCCUCCAGCAAAUAUUUAUUCAGCAAGUACUCCAGGCCUGGCAUGGUUCUAAGCACUGGGGUGCAGCAGUGGAUGAAGGAAUCCCCAUUUUCAUGCAGCUGACAGUCUAAAGGGUAUAGGUCAGGGAUCAGCCAACUGCCUGUGGGCCAAAUCCAGCUAGCCGCCUGUUUUGUAAAUAAAGUUUUAUUGGAACACAGACAUUGUGCUGCUGACAUGGUAACGAAAGGAAAGCUGAAGUUGGGACAGAGACCCCAUGGCCCACAAAGCCCCAAAUAUUUAUUAUCUGGCCCUUUAUAGAAAGAGUUCGCUGGGCUCUGAUAGAGAUUAAGAAAUGAAGAGCCCCCUUCUGAUUUGUUUUUAAUUCGUGAUGUCUACUACGUGAUAGUGUUGGAGGAAUUAUUUAAUUAAUUUUAUUUAAUUUUAUUAUCUGAUGAUAUUGGGAUAAAAAAAUCACAAGUGUGGAUACUAACUAAAAUCAUCAUCAGUAAUAGAAAGACAGCCCAUUUCCUCACCACAUACAGUGCCACUGGUAUCAGUUUUCUGUGGAAACUUCUGGAGACUUCCUUUGCUUAUUCUCACAUGCAUUUACAUAUUUGUUUUUACAAAGCUGGUAUCAACACAUGUGCUGUUUUGUUACCUUUUUUAAAAAAAAUAAUAUUUGCUAGUGUAACAGACAUCUUUCUGUGACAGUAAAUAUUCCUUCUGAUCAUCAUUUUCUUUGGCUGUGUUUAUUCCGUCACGUGGAUAUAUUAUAUUGUAUUUCACCGAUCCCCAUCUUAUUGGAUAUUUAGGACAAUUCCAGUGUUUUGCAAUGUUAGGUCCAAUAUUUUGCAAUCUUUGCUCUCCUGCGGCGAAGCGUCUGUGUUCGUAGGUCUUGGUGAGCGUGUCUAAUGAUUUUCUUGAGAUAAAUUUCUGGAACUAAAAUUGCUGAGUGGAGGGUAUGCACGUUUUAAAUUUCAGGACAUGUGUUGCCGCUUGUUUAAACACAACCCUCAAAGGCGUCUGUUAGGCUGGUUUCCCCAGCCUGGGUGUUAGAAAACUGUCCAUUAUAGGUCCUGGGCU
Molecule: long non-coding RNA, 31531 nt
Organism: Physeter macrocephalus (sperm whale)
Lineage: Eukaryota; Metazoa; Chordata; Mammalia; Artiodactyla; Physeteridae
Exons: 3
Source: RefSeq, a predicted model, not a curated record